UGUAGCGCAGCUGGCAGCGCGCAUGCUUUGGGAGCAUGAGGCCGCCGGUUCGAAUCCGGCGCGGACAU
Molecule: transfer RNA, 68 nt
Filed under: Armatimonadota bacterium
Lineage: Bacteria; Bacillati; Armatimonadota
Description: Armatimonadetes bacterium (wastewater metagenome) tRNA-Pro
Rfam family: tRNA (bases 3-60)
About the family: Transfer RNA (tRNA) molecules are approximately 80 nucleotides in length.
Source: RNAcentral